RNAcentral lists this ribosomal RNA (497 nucleotides) under uncultured bacterium. Its description in RNAcentral is "partial 16S ribosomal RNA". It matches the Rfam family "Bacterial small subunit ribosomal RNA", at positions 28 to 507 of the family's 1533-position model. The record is from RNAcentral.
GAUGAACGCUGGCGGCGUGCCUAAUACAUGCAAGUCGAGCGAACAGACGAGGCGCUUGCUCCUCUGACGUUAGCGGCGGACGGGUGAGUAACACGUGGAUAACCUACCUAUAAGACUGGGAUAACUUCGGGAAACCGGAGCUAAUACCGGAUAAUAUAUUGAACCGCAUGGUUCAAUAGUGAAAGACGGUUUUGCUGUCACUUAUAGAUGGAUCCGCGCCGCAUUAGCUAGUUGGUAAGGUAACGGCUUACCAAGGCAACGAUGCGUAGCCGACCUGAGAGGGUGAUCGGCCACACUGGAACUGAGACACGGUCCAGACUCCUACGGGAGGCAGCAGUAGGGAAUCUUCCGCAAUGGGCGAAAGCUUGACGGAGCAACGCCGCGUGAGUGAUGAAGGUCUUCGGAUCGUAAAGCUCUGUUAGUAGGGAAGAACAAAUGUGUAAGUAACUAUGCACGUCUUGACGGUACCUAAUCAGAAAGCCACGGCUAACUACGUG